UUUGUUAUUUGUGAAUUUUGCCAAAAAAAUAGCAGCAUUUGAAAAUUAUGAAAAAUAUGAUAUGUUUAUACAAGCUUCGGAACGCUAUUUCCAUAGCGAGAAGCCAACCGUUUUUGGUAUAUUUGCUCGUUUAAAGGACAAUUUACUUGAGCACGGAUCUUUUGUGCCAGUGCGUCCUAAAGCAUAUAAUAAAAAAAAAAUAGGGAAGAAAAAGAAAUAGAUGUUUUAGGGUAUAUAGAACCGCGCAACACCCUCGAGCUCAUGUAGAAAAAUCGAAAAAGACAUUGGAAUGCUAAAAACUGACGCACAACAUAAAAAAAUAUAAGUAUUAUUUAUACAAAUUUAACAUAGUUCAAGAUUUACAUCGUGGCGAUGCCGAAUGCCGGAUUCUAUUUUGCCAAUAGUAUUUGCAGCGAAUUGAUGCAAAAAACUUAUUUGGCAGACUCGUUAUCUACCAUUGAAUACUUUUUUUCAAGUGCGAGCAUUUUUAACCGACAUAAUACUCUAAACUGGCAUUAGAAAAUAGACAUUUAAUAUUUGAAAGGGCACAACAAGGACGCAUCGGAGUUGGAGUGUUUUAUUUUGGGAAAAUAAAUAGUAUACCGAAUUUUUACAGGGAGUUUUCGAGCAUGUAGGUACCUAGACAUACUUGAGGAAGUUAUUCCAGAACUUCAGGAAAAUAUCCCUCUAGCCCAAUAUAACGAUGUCCAUUUACAACAACAUGGUGCCUGAAGUCAUGGCUUUCGGCUAUUAAGGGCAUUUCUUAAAAAUAUCUCCUCAAAGAUGGAUAGGUAGCAACGAACCUCCACGGUCCCCCGAUCUCUCGAUUUUAGAAUUUUUUAUGGGGAUAUAUACAAAAUCAAGUGUAUAGAAGACAAUACUACAAUCUAAUAGAACUUCAAGACGCAAUUCAUUUAGCAUUUCAAUAUCUGAGAAGGAAACAAAUUAUUAUUUUGAAUGCUAUUCAAAGCGUUACAAAGAUGUGCCAAUUUUGUAUCAGAUAAGAGAGUGGUCAUUUUGAACAUCUCUUGUAAAAAUUUUGUUUUGUUACAUUGUUGUUUUGUUAUAUGGUUGUUUUCUUAUAGUGUUUAUUAGAUUUAUAUAUUUGUUUUUUAUGUUCUUUUAUUACAAAAUAAAUAAAAAUGAUGCUAUUCCC
Anthonomus grandis grandis is the source of this 1156-nucleotide long non-coding RNA. RefSeq lists it as uncharacterized. Lineage: Eukaryota; Metazoa; Arthropoda; Insecta; Coleoptera; Curculionidae. The transcript has 2 exons. The record is from RefSeq and is a predicted model, not a curated record.